Long non-coding RNA from Bufo gargarizans (Asiatic toad), 1136 nucleotides. RefSeq lists it as uncharacterized. The record is from RefSeq and is a predicted model, not a curated record. Lineage: Eukaryota; Metazoa; Chordata; Amphibia; Anura; Bufonidae. The transcript has 3 exons.
CUAGCCUACUUUCCAUCCUUUUACCCAUCGGUCCCUGGUGAAGGUAAUGCCUAAGCUGCCCGGAUUACGAAGAAGAAGCAACCCAUCAACCGAACAUGUUCUAGCUGAAGAUACAACUGAAGACUUGUAUGAGUCAGAAAAAGCAGAAGUGAAACCCUGUUUGGCGGGAGGUGGUGAUCUGACAGGCUGAGUUUCUCUUCACUAAUGGGGUGCGGACUAACUGACUGAAGAAAGGAUUAAUGAUGCAGAUCACUGAAGGAACUUUUAUUUCAGCUGCGCAGGAAGUUUAGAACCGUUGAAGAUGCCACCUGGAUAAUAUAGAUGCGGCUUAAAAAACUAGAGGAUAUAUACAGACUAUAAGAAGAAAUCGGAGCAGCUUUUGCCAUAGUAACGUCCUUUUGGUAAGUGUUCAUGCGACAUUGGAGGACAUCACAAUAAAAGCCAUCUUGGAAACCCCGUUGGAAGAGGAUCUAUCUGUGAAGUCAAGGACAUACAGUGCAGCCAUCCAUAAAGUAGAAAGCACUACUAGACAGGCUUUAACGCUGUAGUGUUUCCUACUUUAUGGAUGAGUGUACUGGGCGCUACAAGACUGCGACUAUGAAAAUGCAAGAAACAACAUGGAGAGUCCUUAUUGCCGCACCCAAGAUUUUAUCAUUUCCUUAAGUUGAUCAUGUAUGUAAUACAAUUUGUUCAGUAGUUUAUUCUGCAGAAAGAAAACAAUCUUUUUCAAUGUAUUUUAGUUCAUUACUCAUUACAAGUUCUAUAUAUUUCUAUAAUUUUAAAUGAGUCUUGUACUAUUGGAUGUACAGGCAUUUAUAUCAUGCUAUAAAAUACUAAAAUCUGACAUCAAAAGAGUGAAGACACAACCGGACUGAACCUGGAGGCUGACAUACAGUGCAGUUACCCAUAAAGUAGAAAGCACUACUAGAUAGGACUGAACGCUGUAGUGUUUCCUACUUUAUGGAUGAGUGUACUGGGCGCUACGAGACGUCGUCUGGACCCCGAAGACUCAAGAAUAUUUAAUUUGAUGUAUUUUUGUUUCAGGACAAGAAAUUGAAAGAAAGUGAUGACAUAAAAUUUUGUCUGUAGUUUGGAUUCUGCAUUUUUUCCACAAUAAAUAUGGUGAUAAAUAAUAA